UCCUUCUUAUCGAAGGCAGUUCCCGAAGAGUGCAUUCCUUGCGGAAUUAGCAACAUCGGAUGGGGGUUGCGCUCGUUGCGGGACUUAACCCAACAUGUCACCACACGAGCUGACGACAGCCAUGCAGCACCUGUCACUCUGUCGUAUUGCUACGAAGACCGUAUCUCUACGGCUGUCAGAGGAUGUCAAACCCAGGUAAGGUUCUUCGCGUUGCUUCGAAUUAAACCACAUGAUCCACCGCUUGUGCGGGCCCCCGUCAAUUCCUUUGAGUUUUAGUCUUGCGACCGUACUUCCCAGGCGGGGUACUUAUUGCGUUAGCGCCGGUUCAGCGGGGGUCAAGACCCACCAAACCUAGUACCCAUCGUUUACAGCGUGGACUAC
This 381-nucleotide unclassified non-coding RNA is filed under the name uncultured Oligoflexales bacterium. RNAcentral's name for it is "contains 16S-23S intergenic spacer region". Lineage: Bacteria; Pseudomonadati; Bdellovibrionota; Oligoflexia; Oligoflexales. The record is from RNAcentral.